This 4065-nucleotide long non-coding RNA is filed under the name Heterocephalus glaber (naked mole-rat). Its description in RNAcentral is "lncRNA (ENSHGLG00100051804.1)". The record is from RNAcentral. Lineage: Eukaryota; Metazoa; Chordata; Mammalia; Rodentia; Bathyergidae.
CCGGGGCUGGGGCGGACGGGCGGGGCCCUGGGCGCCCGGGCCGCCUCCCUGCUCUCUCCCGGCGUCUGGCCGCAGCGCCGGCUCCAGGUUUCCCCUCCCAGCGUGGGGUGGCAGCCUGGAGAGGCAUCUGCAGAAACCACGCGAGCCCCGGGGAGGAGAGCCCAUGGUGCACACAUAGGCGCGUGUCGGGGACCCCAAGCCCCUGGGCCCCGGGCACACUCGCAGAACCGCUGCAGGGACGUGGCCCAAGCUGGAAUUGCCCUGCGCACAGGCCAGGACCUUUGGGAGCAGCGACUGUCGAGAUAAGGUCAACGGCGGGCCCGCGGUGACUCAGCUCCCCUUGGCCCCGAGGAAGCUCGGCUGGCCCGGGGGGGCGGGGCCUGCGACGCUCCGCCCCCUGCUCCGGCUCCCGGAAGGCGCCCCACACCACCCCCAGCUUCCCAGAGGCGCCCAGAUUUCCCACGGGUUUUCCUGGUGGUGUCGUAACGAGCCCGGCCCUUUCGGAGCGUCCCAGGGCCCCGAGUCAGCUCCCUGUGACGGGACACAUGAGGAUCUGAGCGCCGCACGCUCCCUGACUGUGUGUGUGCGUGUGGUAAGGACAGGGCCAGACCCUCUGAGGCUUCCUCCCACCCCACUUCCUGUUUCAUCCAGAUGCCAACAUCCACGUGGACUAAUCUGCCGAGAUCAUUCCUGACCUCCAGCAUCACAAUUUCCAAACCUGCUCAGUGUUCCCCAGCUUCUCCUGCCUGACUCGCUGCAAGGUCAGAGAGCCUCUGACAUCUUAGCCUCCUACGUCACAUUAAAGGCCUCAGUGUCCCCUUUCUAGGUUCUGGGCCUCCCUCCACUCCUGCUCUUGAACCUUAACAAUGACUUUUUUUGUGUAUCGGACUGGGGAUUGAGUUACAGCCCAGCCCAUGUUUUAUUCUGAGACAGGGCCCUGCUAAAUUGCUAGUUCCAGGCUAGGCUGGAACUUGCUCUGAUCCUCCUGCUUCAGCCUCCCCAGUGUUCGGAUUACAGGCAUGCACCACCACGUCUGUCAUCAACAACCUUCUGUCCCGACUCAUUUGGAUCAUCUGGACAACCAACCACUUUCUCCAGCCCUAUGUUAGUUAAAGUCAUGCUAUUUGCUAAAACAAACACAUCCCAAACUGUGUAUCAGCUCAACCUAGUUCAUUUCCGGAUUGCAGAACGCUUCUGAGCAGGGAUGCCCGUCCUCCAGGUGAUGAUCCAGGAGCCGGGCUCCGCCAUCUCCAACGUGUGCUUUCCAGGGCUGUCAGGCCGGUGGCUUAGCAGCAGCAGAAAUUUAUUUCCCUUGGUUCAGGGGGCCAAAAGUCUGAGAUCAAGAUACCAACAUGCUCAGGCCCCGGGGGGCCCCUCCUCUGAGCUUCAGACUGCAAACUCCUCCUUGUGUCUCACUUAGGAAGAGACAAGCAGCUCGCUGGCUUCAUUCUACAGGUACAAUCUCAACCCAAAGGCUCUGCCCUUGGGUCCCAAUUACCUCCUAAUACUCCCCCUCCAAAUACUUUUACAGUGGGGGCUUGGGGAGGACACAAAAGUUCAGUCCAUAAAGGCGCAUCAGACUGGACGGAGGGGAAGGGCAGGGUGCAGAAGACACAGCUGCUGGUUCACUGCCCUGGCUGGGAGUGACAUCUCAUUCCUGGUCACCGUGCCAUCAGCAAGACAUCCGGGGCGUCCUGACUCCUCUGAAAGUCACAGGUGUGUGGGGAGUGUGGUGUUCUGGGAAGCCCUUGCUGGCCAGCCUCAGCUGCAGUGUGUGGACAGGUGGGGUGGUACUUUCGGGUGAAGUCAGUUCUCUCUGCUCCAUUCCCUUCCCUUCCCUCCACCACACCCUCCCACCAAGGCCCAGCCCAUACUACAAGUCAGUCAACCUCCCUGAUGGAAUCCUUUGUCCUGGAGAAAGCUGGAGGUGGACAUAUCGGUGCAGAUGAAGAUUUAGGACCCUGAAGCCAGCGAGGCUCUGCAUUGCUGGUACCAGGGAUCGAACUCGGGACUUUGUGCUUUCGAGGCAGGUGGCGGCACCACUGAGCUACAUCCCCGGCCUGUGGGCUCCGAUUCUCAUUUCCCACAAGUUUCUUAAUACCCCUGCUGGCCCAGCCCCUGCCCCAGCCUCACUCAGCACAGGAGAACUUAGGGGCCAGAAUGCUAAGAUGCCCCAGUGCCCCCCCCCCCCGGAGCAUGUCCAGCCUUGCACCCUGGCCUCUCCCCAGGCUUCAGACCCGCGUCUCCUGCUGCCUCCAGGACACUUCCACCUGGAUCCCCCAGCUCUUCCAUAGGGGACGGGUGUCAGCACCCAGCCCACCUCUCCCGUGGUGUUUUUUCCUGUGAUGGUGACACCCUCAUCCCAACUGGAAACUUGAGGGGCAUCCUUGUCUUGUUUCUCAGAUUAAACUCUGGCCGAACUUUUUUGGUUUUCUUUUUGGUGGUACUGGGGGCUACAUUCGGGUCCUUCACACUGAGCUACAUCCCCAGCCCUUUUUAUUUUUUACUUUGAGACAGAGUCCUCUUAAGUCACUAAGUUGCCCAGGCUGGGUACGAACUUGCCAUCCUCCUGUCUCAGCCUCCCAGCAUGCUGGGAUUACGUAUGUGGAGCACCAUACCCAGCUCCAGGACAUUUCUUUUUAAUUCUUUUUUUUUUUUUUUUUUUUUGUUGGGGAUGGAACUCAGGACCUUGCGCUUGUGAGGCAGGCUUGGUGCCACUGAGCUGAAUCCCUGGCCCUUCCAAGACAUUUCUGAAGUCGGUUUCCUCUGCUCCUUUCCUGGGUUCCCACCUCAGCGCUUGCAGUCAUGGCAGCAGCGGCCGCCUCAAGUUCUUUAAGCCUCCAGUCCGUGGCUUCUCCAGCAGCAGCCACCGUGACUGUUCUGGAGUAAGGAUCUGAUCUCAGACCCUGUAAUCUAUAGGCAAAGCAUGGGCUCCCCUUUGAGGUUCCCAAGGCACCACUAACCGACCCCACUUCCCCUUCAGCCAGCCCCUCACUCAACGUUCCAGAAACACCCAGCUCUCUUCUGGAUGUGUCCACAGGACCUGGGCCCCACGAGGGGAACGCAGCUGGGCCUCCCAAGGUCCUUCUCCCCAGACCACCCUCUGCUCUCCUGGCUGUGCUGACCACCGCCCUCGACAAAGCCUUUGCAUGCCUGCCUCCAGCACCAGGGGGCAGGAAGAGCUCACGGUGGAGCUCAGCGCCUGGUACAUGGCUUAGCAUCCAGUAGGUGCUCAAUGCAUGCUCCCUGAAUAGGUGAAGAGGGGGAGAAGGUACCCGUUUGAGAGAUGGAAAACCUUUAUUUGGAUCUGCUUGCCUUAUGCCAUCCUGCCUCGUGCUGAAUGAACAUUUCCUGCUCCUGCUCAGCAGAGCCAAAUUGUAUAUGUGUGUGUAUCUGUGAAAUCCGAUCCUCUGCCCGAGAGCCUGCCCAUCCAUUAAUCGUGACUGGCUAUUUGCACAAAGCCGCUUCUCUCAGAGCGCUUCUGCAUGGAGCGCCAGGCUCUCCUGCUCUGCCAGGGCUUCGGGCUACCUCACGACUGACUCGGGCUCUCACGGGCCGUCCCUCAGGGCCUUGGGAGGUGAGCCAGGAAGAAACAUUUCCUUCUUUUCUAUCUUCUUUUCCCUCCUUGCCCUACCCCUAGAUAUAUUUUUUCUUUUUUUUCUUUUUGUAGUGCUGGAGGUCAAGCCUAGGGCCUUGCCGGUGCUAGGCAAGUACUCUACCGAGAAAAGCUGUUCAAGGGUAACCACUGUCCCAGGGAGUGGCGCAAGUCAGGCAUUUGCUCUCUGCUCUGGAACAGACCACCUUGCUCCCUGCCUGCCUCCCGGGAUGUGGGAAACUCCUGUGCCUGGGGACGGGGCAGCCGCACCCCCCAGCCCCCAGGUCACUGGGCUGUGGCUGUUCUCGGUAGACAGCCACCCAUGCCGGCUGGGACAAGAGUGGGACUCCAGGUGCAGGAGGUCCCCUAGGGGCUCACUGGACAGCUGUCUUUCUCUCUGGACCACAGGGUUUUCUCAUUGGUUCCCCUUCUCACAAGGCCCGUGACCAGCUCACAAGGCCUCUCAUGAC